This 253-nucleotide ribosomal RNA is filed under the name uncultured bacterium. Its description in RNAcentral is "partial 16S ribosomal RNA". It matches the Rfam family "Bacterial small subunit ribosomal RNA", at positions 524 to 776 of the family's 1533-position model. The record is from RNAcentral.
UACAGAGGGUGCGAGCGUUGUCCGGAAUCACUGGGCGUAAAGGGCGCGUAGGUGGCCCGACAAGUCAGUGGUGAAAGUUCGACGCUUAACGUCGAAUCGGCCACUGAUACUGUUGGGCUGGAGCACUGUAGAGGCUCAUGGAAUUCCGGGUGUAGCGGUGGAAUGCGUAGAGAUCCGGAAGAACACCGGUGGCGAAGGCGGGUUGCUGGGCCGACACUGACGCUGAUGCGCGAAAGCCAGGGGAGCGAACGGG